UAUUACAAUAUAUAUAUAUAUAUAUACAUAAAGAAUAAUGUUAAUGAACUUCAUCAAAACUUGUUAUUUUCUUAUAUUCUCAUGUUUGUGUUCAGAGUUAUAAUGAGGCAUAACAUGCAUAAUUAAUUCGAGUAGGAACCGUUAAUGCAGAAUAUUUUAUGGGGCACAUAAUGGUGACGCACACAAUACCUCGUGCGAUGUGUGAACAGCGCCAUCUUUAGAAGCACAUUUGCUAUUGACGAGGUCGGUUGUGCUUUCUCUCGCUCUUCAAACAAGAGUGCUGCUUUUUCCAUGCUGUAUGGAUCACUGAAGGGGAGAGACGUGUAUCCCAAAAAACAUUAAUUGUGCUCUGUGUAUUUCUGCAGACCUGCUUCUUCAGAAUAAACCUUCCUGAGACCUGCUCCACCUGUAUUGUCAUCUUUGAGAGCAACAAAACACAACCAGAGUAAAACUGCUACAUAAAAAUGGUGCCGUGACCUACUGGAUCAACUGGAUCAGCCGCAGCCGAUCGCCGGAGUUGUGCAACGUGUUCGUGACGUAUUGAUGCUGCAUCUGUAGAUCGAGGAAUCGAUUUCACCAUUGUUCUGGUAACUGUAAACCAAAAAAACAAAAAACAGAGAGACCUUUUUCCGUGGACUGACAUAUUGAACUGUUGUCUUUUUCCUCAUCAUACUUACUGGACAUUGAAUGAGGCCAGUUUUCUUUUGUGUUUAUUCUGUCACUGUCAUAUAUUUA
This is a long non-coding RNA of Megalobrama amblycephala (Wuchang bream), 735 nucleotides long. RefSeq lists it as uncharacterized. NCBI's taxonomy places the organism in Eukaryota, Metazoa, Chordata, Actinopteri, Cypriniformes, Xenocyprididae. The transcript has 3 exons. The record is from RefSeq and is a predicted model, not a curated record.